This 403-nucleotide ribosomal RNA is filed under the name uncultured bacterium. RNAcentral describes it as "partial 16S ribosomal RNA". It matches the Rfam family "Bacterial small subunit ribosomal RNA", at positions 30 to 526 of the family's 1533-position model. The record is from RNAcentral.
AUUGAACGCUGGCGGCAGGCCUAACACAUGCAAGUCGAGCGAGCGGCGGACGGGUGUGUAAUGUAUGGGGACUGCCCGAUACAGGGGGAUAACUUCUGGAACCGGUGGCUACUACCGCAUACUAUCGGAUAACCCAUAUGGGAUUAGCUAGUAGCGGGGGUAACGGCUCACCUAGGCGACGAUCUCCAGCUGGUCUGAGAGGAUGAUCAGGCAAACGGGUACGGAGACGCGGCCCAGUCUCCUACGGAGGCAGAAGUGGUGAAUAUUGCAUAAUGGGCGCAAGCCUGAUACAGCCAUGCCGCGUGGAUGAAGAAGGCCUGAGGGUUGUAAAGGACUUUCAGCGGGGAGGCGGUACCCGCAGAAGAAGCACCGGCUAACUCCGUGCCAGCAGCCGCGGUAAUAC